UACGUAGGGUGCGAGCGUUAAUCGGAAUUACUGGGCGUAAAGCGUGCGCAGGCGGUUGUGUAAGACAGAUGUGAAAUCCCCGGGCUCAACCUGGGAACUGCAUUUGUGACUGCACAGCUAGAGUGCGGCAGAGGGGGAUGGAAUUCCGCGUGUAGCAGUGAAAUGCGUAGAUAUGCGGAGGAACACCGAUGGCGAAGGCAAUCCCCUGGGCCUGCACUGACGCUCAUGCACGAAAGCGUGGGGAGCAAACAGG
This 253-nucleotide ribosomal RNA is filed under the name uncultured bacterium. Its description in RNAcentral is "partial 16S ribosomal RNA". It matches the Rfam family "Bacterial small subunit ribosomal RNA", at positions 524 to 776 of the family's 1533-position model. The record is from RNAcentral.